Macaca fascicularis (crab-eating macaque) is the source of this 148-nucleotide unclassified non-coding RNA. It matches the Rfam family "Metazoan signal recognition particle RNA". Rfam says of the family: The signal recognition particle (SRP) is a universally conserved ribonucleoprotein. It is involved in the co-translational targeting of proteins to membranes. NCBI's taxonomy places the organism in Eukaryota, Metazoa, Chordata, Mammalia, Primates, Cercopithecidae. The record is from Ensembl.
GCUGGGUGUGGUGGCGUGUGCCUAUAGUCCCAGCUACUUGGGAGGCUGAGGCAGAAGAAUCACUUGAACCCGGGAGGCAGAGGUUGCAGUGGGCCACAAUCGUGCCACUGCACUCCAGCCUGGGUGACAUAGUGAGACUCUGUCUCAA